UAGGGAAUCUUCCGCAAUGGGCGAAAGCCUGACGGAGCAACGCCGCGUGAGUGAUGAAGGUCUUCGGAUCGUAAAACUCUGUUAUUAGGGAAGAACAAAUGUGUAAGUAACUAUGCACGUCUUGACGGUACCUAAUCAGAAAGCCACGGCUACCUACGUGCCAGCAGCCGCGGUAAUACGUAGGUGGCAAGCGUUAUCCGGAAUUAUUGGGCGUAAAGCGCGCGUAGGCGGUUUUUUAAGUCUGAUGUGAAAGCCCACGGCUCAACCGUGGAGGGUCAUUGGAAACUGGAAAACUUGAGUGCAGAAGAGGAAAGUGGAAUUCCAUGUGUAGCGGUGAAAUGCGCAGAGAUAUGGAGGAACACCAGUGGCGAAGGCGACUUUCUGGUCUGUAACUGACGCUGAUGUGCGAAAGCGUGGGGAUCAAACAGG
This 429-nucleotide ribosomal RNA is filed under the name Actinomycetes bacterium. Its description in RNAcentral is "Actinobacteria bacterium partial 16S ribosomal RNA". It matches the Rfam family "Bacterial small subunit ribosomal RNA", at positions 355 to 776 of the family's 1533-position model. The record is from RNAcentral. Lineage: Bacteria; Bacillati; Actinomycetota; Actinomycetes.